UGAGACACGGCCCAGACUCCUACGGGAGGCAGCAGUAGGGAAUCUUCCGCAAUGGACGAAAGUCUGACGGAGCAACGCCGCGUGAGUGAUGAAGGCUUUCGGGUCGUAAAACUCUGUUGUUAGGGAAGAACAAGUGCUAGUUGAAUAAGCUGGCACCUUGACGGUACCUAACCAGAAAGCCACGGCUAACUACGUGCCAGCAGCCGCGGUAAUACGUAGGUGGCAAGCGUUAUCCGGAAUUAUUGGGCGUAAAGCGCGCGCAGGUGGUUUCUUAAGUCUGAUGUGAAAGCCCACGGCUCAACCGUGGAGGGUCAUUGGAAACUGGGAGACUUGAGUGCAGUAGAGGAAAGUGGAAUUCCAUGUGUAGCGGUGAAAUGCGUAGAGAUAUGGAGGAACACCAGUGGCGAAGGCGACUUUCUGGUCUGUAACUGACACUGAGGCGCGAAAGCGUGGGGAGCAAACAGGAUUAGAUACCCUGGUAGUCCACGCCGUAAACGAUGAGUGCUAAGUGUUAGAGGGUUUCCGCCCUUUAG
This 533-nucleotide ribosomal RNA is filed under the name Bacillus cereus. RNAcentral describes it as "bacterial SSU rRNA". It matches the Rfam family "Bacterial small subunit ribosomal RNA", at positions 320 to 843 of the family's 1533-position model. Lineage: Bacteria; Bacillati; Bacillota; Bacilli; Caryophanales; Bacillaceae. The record is from RNAcentral.